GGAGAGAGAGAUCCAGAGAGUGGGAGAGAGAUCCAGAGAGUGGGAGAGAGAUCCAGAGAGUGGGAGAGAGAGAUCCAGAGAGUGGGAGAGAGAGAUCCAGAGAGUGGGAGAGAGAUCCAGAGAGUGGGAGAGAGAGAUCCAGAGAGUGGGAGAGAGAGAUCCAGAGAGUGGGAGAGAGAGAUCCAGAGAGUGGGAGAGAGAGAUCCAGAGAGUGGGAGAGAGAGAUCCAGAGAGUGGGAGAGAGAAAUGUCCUGGGGACUGGGGUAGGGUGGAGCAGGGCUGGGUAUGAGUUUAGGUCAGGGCUGGGUAUGAGUUUAGGUCAGGGCUGGGUAUGAGUUUAGGUCAGGGCUGGGUAUGAGUUUAGGUCAGGGCUGGAUAUGAGUUUAGGUCAGGGCUGGGUAUGAGUUUAGGUCAGGGCUGGGUAUGAGUUUAGGUCAGGGCUGGGUAUGAGUUUAGGUCAGGGCUGGGUAUGAGUUUAGGUCAGGGCUGGGUAUGAGUUUAGGUCAGGGCUGGGUAUGAGUUUAGGUCAGGGCUGGGUAUGAGUUUAGGUCAGGGCUGGGUAUGAGUUUAGGUCAGGGCUAGGGCUCUAGCACAGCUUCCGAGGUGAGAGGGAGUGUGCAGGGUGGCUGGCUGAGUGAUCUGAUGUUAGUGAAACGAGGAUAGAAAGGAUACCUGGGACCAGCUCAUGACUCACAGCCAGAUGGUGCUGGCAAAAACAUGGACACACACACACACACAGAGAGAGAACAGUGAGGCAGCGAGCGACCUCUUAGCCAUGGUAAAUUACAGUAGGGGUAAUUGCAUUAGUAGGGUAAGAUAAUUAGCUAAGAGGUGCAGGCUGCUAUUGCGGCUGGAAGCUGCUGGAGUGUGUGUGUGUGUGUGUGUGUGUGUG
Oncorhynchus tshawytscha (Chinook salmon) is the source of this 892-nucleotide long non-coding RNA. The record is from Ensembl. NCBI's taxonomy places the organism in Eukaryota, Metazoa, Chordata, Actinopteri, Salmoniformes, Salmonidae.